Pseudomonas sp. M30-35 is the source of this 192-nucleotide small RNA. It matches the Rfam family "Pseudomonas sRNA P27". The record is from Rfam. Lineage: Bacteria; Pseudomonadati; Pseudomonadota; Gammaproteobacteria; Pseudomonadales; Pseudomonadaceae.
CGGGUAAAACUCCUGCUUGUUACCGUUUCAUCUGGCCGAAGCCGGAUGUCGUUUUGGUGUCUGAUUCGGUAAAGAACCGGGAGCACCAUCUGCGUAGGUUUUCCUGUUUAAGGCUUGCGCCACCUACGGUCUUGGAUAGCCCCCGCCAGGCAGGGACCCCAAUUUUUGCAAACGAGCGUGAAAUUCACGCCC